CCCUGGUUUGCUCAGCUGGUAGGGCACUCUACUAGAAUUGGAGAGGUCCCGGUUUCGAUACCCGGAAGAGGCG
This 73-nucleotide transfer RNA is filed under the name Ixodes scapularis (black-legged tick). RNAcentral's name for it is "tRNA-Ser for anticodon AGA". Lineage: Eukaryota; Metazoa; Arthropoda; Arachnida; Ixodida; Ixodidae. The record is from RNAcentral.